This 484-nucleotide ribosomal RNA is filed under the name uncultured bacterium. RNAcentral's name for it is "partial 16S ribosomal RNA". It matches the Rfam family "Bacterial small subunit ribosomal RNA", at positions 28 to 523 of the family's 1533-position model. The record is from RNAcentral.
GAUGAACGCUGGCGGCGUGCUUAACACAUGCAAGUCGAACGGUGAAGCAGGAGCUUGCUCUUGUGGAUCAGUGGCGAACGGGUGAGUAACACGUGAGCAACCUGCCCCUGACUCUGGGUUAAGCGCUGGAAACGGCGUCUAAUACUGGAUAUGUGAUGUGACCGCAUGGUCUGCAUCUGGAAAGAAUUUCGGUUGGGGAUGGGCUCGCGGCCUAUCAGCUUGUUGGUGAGGUAAUGGCGCACCAAGGCGUCGACGGGUAGCCGGCCUGAGAGGGUGACCGGCCACACUGGGACUGAGACACGGCCCAGACUCCUACGGGAGGCAGCAGUGGGGAAUAUUGCACAAUGGGCGGAAGCCUGAUGCAGCAACGCCGCGUGAGGGAUGACGGCCUUCGGGUUGUAAACCUCUUUUAGCAGGGAGGAAGCGAAAGUGACGGUACCUGCAGAAAAAGCACCGGCUAACUACGUGCCAGUCGCCGCAGUAA